RNAcentral lists this long non-coding RNA (690 nucleotides) under Malus domestica (apple). RNAcentral's name for it is "long non-coding RNA (MDOM_LNC001704)". The record is from RNAcentral. Lineage: Eukaryota; Viridiplantae; Streptophyta; Magnoliopsida; Rosales; Rosaceae.
UGUAAUUUAAACAAGUUAGAUUUAUGAGACCAUUCUCUUUCGUAUACAUAUCCUAAACGUUCCUGAUCAUAAGAUUGCCAAUUGGGCAUUGACAGUCUGUUAAGAUCAGUAUGUGCUAUGUCUUCUCUUAGUGAGAGUGACUGGUCUCGAGUCAUUGGUGUGACUGACACCAAGACAAGUACGUAGGUGCUUAAUAAGGAAUAAGUUCACUGAACAUGAUCAACGAAAAGUUCUCAUACUCAUGUCACAUGAGAACUCAUGGUUGAGAUAAUGCAAAGUAGUCCUUUGACCUGAGGCAUCAUAGUUGUCUUGUGGUUAGGUCCUUGAUCUUUGAUUAUGUCAAAGUCACUCCAUUCGCGGGUGUCCACGACAUAGUUGGGGUUAAGCCACUUAGCCAUGGAGGCAAGUGAAUGCGCAACAAGGGAUCUCUAACUUUCAAACCAUUUGAGGGAGAAUACUCUAUGAUAUGAUUAAGAAUCUCUGGCUAGAGUAUGAAUGAGAUUUAGGAAGUCGUUCCAAAUCACAUUCAAAGUAAUCAUAUAAGUAAAUGAAUCACAUUGGAUAAUAGACAUGAAUAAACUAUCAAACCAAACAAUGUGGUCAAGAGUAUUGUAUGUGAGAAAGACCGUAUUGCAUUGUAAUCCUAAAUUGAAUAGGUUCUCCACCUCUUCUGAUUAGCUUGGGUAACCA